This 252-nucleotide ribosomal RNA is filed under the name uncultured bacterium. RNAcentral's name for it is "partial 16S ribosomal RNA". It matches the Rfam family "Bacterial small subunit ribosomal RNA", at positions 524 to 776 of the family's 1533-position model. The record is from RNAcentral.
UACGAAGGGGGCUAGCGUUGCUCGGAAUCACUGGGCGUAAAGCGCACGUAGGCGGACUCUUAAGUCGGUGGUGAAAUCCUGGAGCUCAACUCCAGAACUGCCUUCGAUACUGAGAGUCUCGAGUCCGGGAGAGGUGAGUGGAACUGCGAGUGUAGAGGUGAAAUUCGUAGAUAUUCGCAAGAACACCAGUGGCGAAGGCGGCUCACUGGCCGGUACUGACGCUGAGGUGCGAAAGCGUGGGGAGCAAACAGG